Molecule: ribosomal RNA, 458 nt
Filed under: uncultured bacterium
Lineage: Bacteria
Description: partial 16S ribosomal RNA
Rfam family: Bacterial small subunit ribosomal RNA
Source: RNAcentral
CCUACGGGUGGCAGCAGUGGGGAAUAUUGCACAAUGGGGGAAACCCUGAUGCAGCGACGCCGCGUGAGUGAAGAAGUAAUUCGUUACGGAAAGCUCUAUCAGCAGGGAAGAAAUACUGACCUUACGGUCAGCAGACGGUACCUGAGUAGGAAGCGCCGGGUAACUACGUGCCAGCAGCCGCGGGAAUACGUAGGGGGCCAGCGUUAUACGGAUUUACUGGGUGUAAAGGGAGCGUAGACGGUGCGCCAAGUCUGGAGUGAAAGACCGCAGCUUAACUGCGGAACUGCUUUGGAAACUGGCGAACUAGAGUGCGGGAGGGGUAAGCGGAAUUCGUGGUGUAGCGGUGAAAUGCGUAGAUAUUAGGAGGAACACCGGUGGCGAAGGCGGCUUACUGGACCGUAACUGACGUUGAGGCUCGAAAGCGUGGGGAGCAAACAGGAUUAGAUACCCGAGUAGUC